This 253-nucleotide ribosomal RNA is filed under the name uncultured bacterium. RNAcentral describes it as "partial 16S ribosomal RNA". It matches the Rfam family "Bacterial small subunit ribosomal RNA", at positions 524 to 776 of the family's 1533-position model. The record is from RNAcentral.
UACAGAGGUGGCAAGCGUUGUUCGGAAUUACUGGGCGUAAAGGGCGUGCAGGCGGUCGACUAAGUCUGGCGUGAAAGCUCGCGGCUAAACCGCGAGAGGUCGUUGGAUACUGGUUGACUAGAGGACGGUAGAGGCGUGUGGAAUUCCGGGUGUAGUGGUGAAAUGCGUAGAGAUCCGGAGGAACACCAGUGGCGAAGGCGACACGCUGGGCCGUACCUGACGCUAAAACGCGACAGCAUGGGGAGCGAACGGG